This 329-nucleotide ribosomal RNA is filed under the name uncultured bacterium. RNAcentral's name for it is "bacterial SSU rRNA". It matches the Rfam family "Bacterial small subunit ribosomal RNA", at positions 43 to 396 of the family's 1533-position model. The record is from RNAcentral.
UCAGGCCUAACACAUGCAAGUCGAACGAGACCUUCGGGUCUAGUGGCGCACGGGUGCGUAACGCGUGGGAAUCUGCCCUUGGGUCCGGAAUAACAGUUAGAAAUGACUGCUAAUACCGGAUGAUGACUUCGGUCCAAAGAUUUAUCGCCCAGGGAUGAGCCCGCGUCGGAUUAGCUAGUUGGUGAGGUAAAGGCUCACCAAGGCGACGAUCCGUAGCUGGUCUGAGAGGAUGAUCAGCCACACUGGGACUGAGACACGGCCCAGACUCCUACGGGAGGCAGCAGUGGGGAAUAUUAAAGAAUGGGCGAAAGCCUGAUCCAGCAAUGCCG